AGAUUAAGUUAUUAAGGGCGCACGGUGGAUGCCUUGGCACUAGAAGCCGAAGAAGGACGUUACUAACGACGAUAUGCUUUGGGUAGCUGUAAGUAAGCGUUGAUCCAGAGAUUUCCGAAUGGGGGAACCCAACAUGAGUUAUGUCAUGUUAUCGACAUGUGAAUUCAUAGCAUGUCAGAAGGCAGACCCGGAGAACUGAAACAUCUUAGUACCCGGAGGAAGAGAAAGAAAAAUCGAUUCCCUGAGUAGCGGCGAGCGAAACGGGAAGAGCCCAAACCAACAAGCUUGCUUGUUGGGGUUGUAGGACACUCUAUACGGAGUUACAAAAGAACAUGUUAGACGAAUCAUCUGGAAAGAUGAAUCAAAGAAGGUAAUAAUCCUGUAGUCGAAAACAUAUUCUCUCUUGAGUGGAUCCUGAGUACGACGGAGCACGUGAAAUUCCGUCGGAAUCUAGGAGGACCAUCUCCUAAGGCUAAAUACUCUCUAGUGACCGAUAGUGAACCAGUACCGUGAGGGAAAGGUGAAAAGUACCCCGGAAGGGGAGUGAAAGAGAACUUGAAACCGUGUGCUUACAAGUAGUCAGAGCCCGUUUAUGGGUGAUGGCGUGCCUUUUGUAGAAUGAACCGGCGAGUUACGAUCUGAUGCAAGGUUAAGCAGCGAAUGUGGAGCCGUAGCGAAAGCGAGUCUGAAUAGGGCGUUGAGUAUUUGGUCGUAGACCCGAAACCAGGUGAUCUACCCUUGGUCAGGUUGAAGUUCAGGUAACACUGAAUGGAGGACCGAACCGACUUACGUUGAAAAGUGAGCGGAUGAACUGAGGGUAGCGGAGAAAUUCCAAUCGAACUUGGAGAUAGCUGGUUCUCUCCGAAAUAGCUUUAGGGCUAGCCUCAAGUGAUGAUUAUUGGAGGUAGAGCACUGUUUGGACGAGGGGCCCCUCUCGGGUUACCGAAUUCAGACAAACUCCGAAUGCCAAUCAAUUUAACUUGGGAGUCAGAACAUGGGUGAUAAGGUCCGUGUUCGAAAGGGAAACAGCCCAGACCACCAGCUAAGGUCCCAAAAUAUAUGUUAAGUGGAAAAGGAUGUGGCGUUGCCCAGACAACUAGGAUGUUGGCUUAGAAGCAGCCAUCAUUUAAAGAGUGCGUAAUAGCUCACUAGUCGAGUGACACUGCGCCGAAAAUGUACCGGGGCUAAACAUAUUACCGAAGCUGUGGAUUGUCCUUCGGACAAUGGUAGGAGAGCGUUCUAAGGGCGUUGAAGCAUGAUCGCAAGGACAUGUGGAGCGCUUAGAAGUGAGAAUGCCGGUGUGAGUAGCGAAAGACGGGUGAGAAUCCCGUCCACCGAUUGACUAAGGUUUCCAGAGGAAGGCUCGUCCGCUCUGGGUUAGUCGGGUCCUAAGCUGAGGCCGACAGGCGUAGGCGAUGGAUAACAGGUUGAUAUUCCUGUACCACCUAGUAUCGUUUUAAUUGAUGGGGGGACGCAGUAGGAUAGGCGAAGCGUGCUGUUGGAGUGCACGUCCAAGCAGUAAGGCUGAGUGUUAGGCAAAUCCGGCACUCGUUAGGCUGAGCUGUGAUGGGGAGAGGAAAUUGUUUCCUCGAGUCGUUGAUUUCACACUGCCGAGAAAAGCCUCUAGAUAGAUAACAGGUGCCCGUACCGCAAACCGACACAGGUAGUCAAGAUGAGAAUUCUAAGGUGAGCGAGCGAACUCUCGUUAAGGAACUCGGCAAAAUGACCCCGUAACUUCGGGAGAAGGGGUGCUCUUUAGGGUUCACGCCCAGAAGAGCCGCAGUGAAUAGGCCCAAGCGACUGUUUAUCAAAAACACAGGUCUCUGCUAAACCGUAAGGUGAUGUAUAGGGGCUGACGCCUGCCCGGUGCUGGAAGGUUAAGAGGAGUGGUUAGCUUCUGCGAAGCCACGAAUCGAAGCCCCAGUAAACGGCGGCCGUAACUAUAACGGUCCUAAGGUAGCGAAAUUCCUUGUCGGGUAAGUUCCGACCCGCACGAAAGGCGUAACGAUUUGGGCACUGUCUCAACGAGAGACUCGGUGAAAUCAUAGUACCUGUGAAGAUGCAGGUUACCCGCGACAGGACGGAAAGACCCCGUGGAGCUUUACUGUAGCCUGAUAUUGAAAUUCGGCACAGCUUGUACAGGAUAGGUAGGAGCCAUUGAAACGUGAGCGCUAGCUUACGUGGAGGCGUUGGUGGGAUACUACCCUAGCUGUGUUGGCUUUCUAACCCGCACCACUUAUCGUGGUGGGAGACAGUGUCAGGCGGGCAGUUUGACUGGGGCGGUCGCCUCCUAAAAGGUAACGGAGGCGCUCAAAGGUUCCCUCAGAAUGGUUGGAAAUCAUUCACAGAGUGUAAAGGCAUAAGGGAGCUUGACUGCGAGACCUACAAGUCGAGCAGGGUCGAAAGACGGACUUAGUGAUCCGGUGGUUCCGCAUGGAAGGGCCAUCGCUCAACGGAUAAAAGCUACCCCGGGGAUAACAGGCUUAUCUCCCCCAAGAGUUCACAUCGACGGGGAGGUUUGGCACCUCGAUGUCGGCUCAUCGCAUCCUGGGGCUGUAGUCGGUCCCAAGGGUUGGGCUGUUCGCCCAUUAAAGCGGUACGCGAGCUGGGUUCAGAACGUCGUGAGACAGUUCGGUCCCUAUCCGUCGUGGGCGUAGGAAAUUUGAGAGGAGCUGUCCUUAGUACGAGAGGACCGGGAUGGACAUACCUCUGGUGUACCAGUUGUCGUGCCAACGGCAUAGCUGGGUAGCUAUGUAUGGACGGGAUAAGUGCUGAAAGCAUCUAAGCAUGAAGCCCCCCUCAAGAUGAGAUUUCCCAACUUCGGUUAUAAGAUCCCUCGAAGAUGACGAGGUUAAUAGGUUCGAGGUGGAAGCGUGGUGACACGUGGAGCUGACGAAUACUAAUCGAUCGAAGACUUAAUCAAU
This 2924-nucleotide ribosomal RNA is filed under the name Staphylococcus capitis. RNAcentral describes it as "bacterial LSU rRNA". It matches the Rfam family "Bacterial large subunit ribosomal RNA". Lineage: Bacteria; Bacillati; Bacillota; Bacilli; Caryophanales; Staphylococcaceae. The record is from RNAcentral.